CAGUAGCAGUCAUAUAAGUUAAUCAGAUUUCAUCCUUAUUACAUAACAUCAAUUACAUGAAGUUACAUAUCUUUGACUUUGGUAUACAAAGUAUUGUCCGAAUUACUCUUGUUAUUAUUUCCAUUCCUCCAAUCAUCCAUGUUGGGGAGUUCUUCAUAGGUAGAAGAGUCAUCAUGAUGAUUUGUAUCGAUAGUACUUGUGUUUCUCCUUGUUAUAGUGUGCCUUUAAAUGUGUCCAGAACAUCCUCCAAAAGGACAAAAAGAUAUAAGAUAUUCUCCAAUAAUUUACAGGGGGAUGAAAUAGAAACGAAAUUAAAAUUUCUUUCUAUCAUUAUUUCUAUGUAUUAACAUUGUGGAAAAAAGAGCACCUAAGUAUAUCUAUUUGUAUACAUGUAUUAUGUAUGUGUAUGUGUCUAUACACACAUAAACAUAGACAUAACUUACAUUGGAAUCUUUCUUUCAUAAUCCUAGCAAUCGUCACCUACUUAUCACUUAGACAUAGAAUAACUUUGAAUUACUUCCCUGAGAGACUCAAGAGUUGCUAUUGAGUUCUGUUUUUUUUCCUGGUAGUUAUUAUUUAGAUCUGCCUUGCAAUUAAAAUUCCGUUGACUUCAAGGAUUUUUUUCAUGUAGCCUUUAACUCUAAAUCGACCUCAUUGAAUUUGAACUGUGAUGCUCAGUUUUUUCCCUCUCGAUUAACUUUGAGUUCUUGCACUUACCAGCUUAAUUGAAGCUUUCACUUGGAUUCCUAAAACUCUUCUAACACCGAAUUUUGAGUAGACAUUCGCAAUCUGGUUCCUAAUUCUGAGUUUGCAGCGAGAUGUAUGGUGGGCUCCCAAUUUCUAAAUAUAUCCCAGAGAUGUUCUGAGGACCAAGUUUCAAAUCAGAUAUCCUAAUCCGAGUCCUAGGUCCGAGUUUGCUUUGAGUGAGAGUUCUAAUCUUCUUUCCGAGGUCUAAGUUUAUGUAGCAGCAAGGUGCAGAUUUCCAAAUGCAGUCCACAGUUCAAAUUUGUCCCUGACAGGGUAUCCAAUCUACAGUCUAAAUUUCACAGUAAAAUCUUAGGGUCUGAGUUCUGAAACAAAAGUUCCUAACAGCAUUCCAAUGUCUGAGAUUCCUCAAACACUUUCCUAAGGCCCGAUUUUCAGUCCGAAAUGAUGACCAAUAAGAUGAAAGGCUACAUUUGCAUAACAGGAGGCUAAUUGCCAAUGGAUUUGUGAGGAAUCCAAAAUUCCUGAAAGGAGCAUAUCAACUAAAUUUCCUCAAAGAUGGAUAACACCAAAAGGAGUCAGAGAGAUGAAAAGAUUGAAGAGAUAGAUACCACCGAUGGAGCCAAAAGAUGGAGAAUCUAGCGCACAGGUUGAAGGUAUGAUCACAACAAGGAGCAAUUUCUAGAAAGGAGCUGGAGGGUGAAGGAUACAGAGCAUGUGAUCAAAGUGAAGAGGCAAAUUUGCAGAAAAGUUACAGGAAGAGGGAUCAUCUGUAGAGGAGUUAAAAAUUUAAAGAAGAUUGAGAGCAACAUGCUCACAUAAACGGCUCUGAUGGUGGGAUCUAUAAGAUUUGCCGAUGAAGAAUGCGUUUCAGAGCCAAAGACAAAGUAUGAAAAUGAAAUAUCACUACCACAGUGCAGAAAGCUAACCCAUGCCAUUUCCAGAAUUCUAGAAGAGAGUGACAAACUAUAGAGGUGCUACAGGAAGCAUACGGAAAUAGAGGAGGAACAACUAGAGAUGGCUGGAAUAUGAUUUGUUGUAAUGGCCUUUAAUUUGUUGUAAAAUGACAACUUUUGGGCCCAAUUUAAUACAACACAAGAAAAGCCAAAAGUUAGUUAUUUAUCUAGCUGCCUAUUUUUUCUUUUGUGACAAAAGCUGUUAUUUUGUCUUGUAGUGGGAGCAGUUGAAAAGUGGUUGAAAGUUGUUGAAAUCAUUAACUGAAAGUUAUUAGGGUUUCUAGAGGGCAAAUCUAGGCCAUUGAAUGGAUUAAAUCCUGGUCAUUGAUUCAAAAUGUAAAGUCUAUAAAAGGCCAGUGCCUCUGUCAUUUUAAGGGAUUAGAAGUUAGAAUUAGAGUUAGAAGUAGCAGUAGCUAGCAAGUAGAAUUAGAGUAGAGUAGGAAUUGUUGAACAUAGAUUGUUGUAAUAGCAGUUGAAGCAAAUGAAUCAAGCAUUGAAGUAUAAUGUUUUGCUAGUUACCUUCACUUGUUUG
This is a long non-coding RNA of Cryptomeria japonica (Japanese cedar), 2193 nucleotides long. RefSeq lists it as uncharacterized. Lineage: Eukaryota; Viridiplantae; Streptophyta; Pinopsida; Cupressales; Cupressaceae. The record is from RefSeq and is a predicted model, not a curated record. The transcript is spliced from 3 exons.